AUGUGCCCGAGGUCAAAUGCUGAAGAUCGGAUCGCUUGGCACUAUGAAAGAAAUGGGGUCUUCACAGUAAGAAGUGCGUAUAAGCUGGCCGCUGCAAUUCAUGGGCAGUCCCGUCAGUCCCCGUCACGCUCGUCAAGGGAACAUGAUGAUAGGAGCAUCUGGGACCUCAUCUGGAAAUCGAAUGUUCCACCAAAAGUGAGAAUUUUUGGAUGGCGAGUAGCUACCAACACGCUGGCCACGAAGAAGAAUAAAUGGAGGACUUUAGAACUGGAUGCCACAUGCAGCAUAUGCAGGUGUGGCGAGGAAGAUGAAUUCCAUGCGGUGGUAACCUGCACAAAAAGUAGAGCUCUCAGACAUGAAAUGAGAAAAGAAUGGGAACUCCCUCCUGAGGAAUCAUUCAGGUACACCGCCCCGGACUGGCUGCAAAUGCUAUUGGGCACAACGACUGAGGCCGUGAGGGCGAGGGUGUUGAUGCUUUUGUGGAGAGGUUGGCAUCUUCGUGAUGACUGUGUCCAUGGGAAAGGAAACGAGUCA
Molecule: ribosomal RNA, 534 nt
Filed under: Triticum aestivum (bread wheat)
Lineage: Eukaryota; Viridiplantae; Streptophyta; Magnoliopsida; Poales; Poaceae
Description: partial small subunit ribosomal RNA
Source: RNAcentral